Molecule: ribosomal RNA, 815 nt
Filed under: Pseudomonas sp. 1130-273-7
Lineage: Bacteria; Pseudomonadati; Pseudomonadota; Gammaproteobacteria; Pseudomonadales; Pseudomonadaceae
Description: bacterial SSU rRNA
Rfam family: Bacterial small subunit ribosomal RNA
Source: RNAcentral
UGCAAGUCGAGCGGAUGAAGGGAGCUUGCUCUCUGAUUCAGCGGCGGACGGGUGAGUAAUGCCUAGGAAUCUGCCUGAUAGUGGGGGACAACGUUUCGAAAGGAACGCUAAUACCGCAUACGUCCUACGGGAGAAAGCAGGGGACCUUCGGGCCUUGCGCUAUCAGAUGAGCCUAGGUCGGAUUAGCUAGUUGGUGAGGUAACGGCUCACCAAGGCGACGAUCCGUAACUGGUCUGAGAGGAUGAUCAGUCACACUGGAACUGAGACACGGUCCAGACUCCUACGGGAGGCAGCAGUGGGGAAUAUUGGACAAUGGGCGAAAGCCUGAUCCAGCCAUGCCGCGUGUGUGAAGAAGGUCUUCGGAUUGUAAAGCACUUUAAGUUGGGAGGAAGGGCAUUAACCUAAUACGUUAGUGUUUUGACGUUACCGACAGAAUAAGCACCGGCUAACUUCGUGCCAGCAGCCGCGGUAAUACGAAGGGUGCAAGCGUUAAUCGGAAUUACUGGGCGUAAAGCGCGCGUAGGUGGUUUGUUAAGUUGAAUGUGAAAGCCCCGGGCUCAACCUGGGAACUGCAUCCAAAACUGGCAAGCUAGAGUAUGGCAGAGGGUGGUGGAAUUUCCUGUGUAGCGGUGAAAUGCGUAGAUAUAGGAAAGGAACACCCAGUGGCGAAGGCGACCACCUGGGCCUAAUACUGACACUGAGGUGCGAAAGCGUGGGGAGCAAACAGGAUAAGAUACCCUGUUAGUCCACCCGUAACGAUGUCGACUAGCCUUGGGAUCCUUGAAAUCUUAUGGCGCCACUACGCAUUAAGUUCA